Molecule: long non-coding RNA, 502 nt
Organism: Mytilus trossulus (common blue mussel)
Lineage: Eukaryota; Metazoa; Mollusca; Bivalvia; Mytilida; Mytilidae
Exons: 2
Source: RefSeq, a predicted model, not a curated record
GUUAUUGACUUCGGAAGAAAUAAUAUUACGAUAAUACUAUUGAAACUCCCGAGUGUACCGAUUGUUGUUUAAAGCUAUUUAUAUUUUUUUUGUGACGACAUACAAAUCGUGGAAAACACCAGACAGCAUGGCUUUCAUCACAGCGAAAGAAAAUAACAGCACAUCAAACUUUGACAAACCAAUGAAGAUUUCUGGACACAGAUAUUAUGUGUAAAAUGUGAAGAAUUAAAAAAAAAAAUCUAUAAUACUUGAAUUUUCAUUGUAUCAAUAAACAGCUCCAAUUUUAUAAGAAAAAAAGAUUCAAAGAUUUGUUUUUAAUUACUGAAGCUGCCAGCAAUCAUUAUAAUCACAGUAUAAACAUUAUUCUGACAGCAACCAUAAAGCGAAAAAAGGUACACAGAUGUCUACAUUCAUUAAAGUAAAUAAAACAAAAAUCAAGAAUCACAUUGUUGUAAGAUAUGUCAGAGAAUUAAACAAAUUAAAAAUCAUAUAAGAAAUUUAA